This 715-nucleotide ribosomal RNA is filed under the name Aplanochytrium sp. PBS07. RNAcentral's name for it is "partial Eukaryotic large subunit ribosomal RNA". It matches the Rfam family "Eukaryotic large subunit ribosomal RNA", at positions 995 to 1711 of the family's 3401-position model. The record is from RNAcentral. Lineage: Eukaryota; Bigyra; Thraustochytrida; Thraustochytriidae.
ACAGUUUUAUCAGGUAAAGCGAAUGAUUAGAGGAAUCGGGGACGCGUUGUCUUCGACCUAUUCUCAAACUUUAAAUGGGUAAGAUCCACAGUGGUUACUUGAUUGAACUUCUGGGAUAAAUGAAAACUUUAAGUGGGCCGUUUUUGGUAAGCAGAACUGGCGAUGAGGGAUGAACCUAACGUCGGGCUAAGGUGCUUAAUUGCACGCUCAUCAGAUACCACAAAGGGUGUUGGUUCAUUUUGACAGCAGGACGGUGGUCAUGGAAGUCGAAAUCCGCUAAGGACUGUGUAACAACUCACCUGCCGAAUGGACUAGCCCUGAAAAUGGAUGGCGCUAAAGCGUGCGACUUAUACUCAGCCAUCAGCGCGAGACGUAUGUGCUGAUGAGUAGGAGGGCGUGAUGCUCGUAUCGAAGCCUUGGGCGUGAGCCUGGGUGAAACGUGCAUUAGUGCAGAUCUUGGUGGUAGUAGCAAUUAUUCAAAUGAGAACUUUGAAGGCCGAAGUGGAGAAGGUUUCCAUGAGAACAGCAAUUGGUCAUGGGUGACUCGGUCCUAAGAUAUUGGUAAACACCUUGCAAUUGAGCUUUGGCUCGCGAUCGAAGAAGGGAAAAUGAGGUUAAUAUUCCUCAAGCUGGCUAUGGAUGUCACGGUAACGUUUGUGAGCUCGGUGACACCAGCGCGUGCCUCUGGAAGAGUUAUCUUUCUUUGCUAACAGUC